GACGAACGCUGGCGGCGUGCUUAACACAUGCAAGUCGAACGGAAAGGCCCUGCUUUUGUGGGGUGCUCGAGUGGCGAACGGGUGAGUAACACGUGAGUAACCUGCCCUUGACUUUGGGAUAACUUCAGGAAACUGGGGCUAAUACCGGAUAGGAGCUCCUGCUGCAUGGUGGGGGUUGGAAAGUUUCGGCGGUUGGGGAUGGACUCGCGGCUUAUCAGCUUGUUGGUGGGGUAGUGGCUUACCAAGGCUUUGACGGGUAGCCGGCCUGAGAGGGUGACCGGCCACAAUGGGACUGAGAUACGGCCCGGAAUCCUACGGGAGGCAGCAGUGGGGAAUAUUGCACAAUGGGCGGAAGCCUGAUGCAGCAACGCCGCGUGCGGGAUGACGGCCUUCGGGUUGUAAACCGCUUUCGCCUGUGACGAAGCGUGAGUGACGGUAAUGGGUAAAGAAGCACCGGCUAACUACGUG
RNAcentral lists this ribosomal RNA (468 nucleotides) under uncultured bacterium. Its description in RNAcentral is "partial 16S ribosomal RNA". It matches the Rfam family "Bacterial small subunit ribosomal RNA", at positions 28 to 507 of the family's 1533-position model. The record is from RNAcentral.